UUUUAACCCCGAUUGAAGCGGUAUCCUUUUAUGGUUUUGACAAAAACUAUAAAAGAUAUAGCGAAAAGCGGGAAUAGGG
Molecule: small RNA, 79 nt
Filed under: Flavobacterium croceum DSM 17960
Lineage: Bacteria; Pseudomonadati; Bacteroidota; Flavobacteriia; Flavobacteriales; Flavobacteriaceae
Description: Flavo-1 RNA
Rfam family: Flavo-1 RNA
Source: Rfam by way of RNAcentral